UACGGAGGGGGCUAGCGUUAUCCGGAAUGAUUGGGCGUAAAGCGUCUGUAGGUGGCUUUUUAAGUCCGCCGUCAAAUCCCAGGGCUCAACUCUGGACAGGCGGUGGAAACUACCAAGCUGGAGUACGGUGGGGGCAGAGGGAAUUUCCGGUGGAGCGGUGAAAUGCGUAGAGAUCGGAAAGAACACCAACGGCGAAAGCACUCUGCUGGGCCGACACUGACACUGAGAGACGAAAGCGUGGGGAGCGAACAGG
RNAcentral lists this ribosomal RNA (253 nucleotides) under uncultured bacterium. Its description in RNAcentral is "partial 16S ribosomal RNA". It matches the Rfam family "Bacterial small subunit ribosomal RNA", at positions 524 to 776 of the family's 1533-position model. The record is from RNAcentral.